GAUGAAGAACGUAGCGAAAUGCGAUAAAUAAUAUGAAUUGCAGAAUUCAGCGAAUCAUCGAAUCUUUGAACGCACAUUGCGCCCCCUGGUAUUCCGGGGGGCAUGCCUGUUCGAGCGUCAUUUCACCACUCAAGCCUCGCUUGGUAUUGGGCAACGCGGUCCGCCGCGUGCCUCAAAUCGACCGGCUGGGUCUUCUGUCCCCUAAGCGUUGUGGAAACUAUUCGCUAAAGGGUGUUCGGGAGGCUACGCCGUAAAACAACCCCAUUUCUAAGGUUGACCUCGGAUCAGGUAGGGAUACCCGCUGAACUUAAGCAUAUCAAUAAGCGGAGGA
This 331-nucleotide unclassified non-coding RNA is filed under the name soil metagenome. RNAcentral's name for it is "partial contains 5.8S ribosomal RNA, internal transcribed spacer 2, and large subunit ribosomal RNA". The stretch from base 1 to 120 matches the Rfam family "5.8S ribosomal RNA", at positions 35 to 154 of the family's 154-position model. The record is from RNAcentral.